Molecule: long non-coding RNA, 1865 nt
Organism: Scylla paramamosain (green mud crab)
Lineage: Eukaryota; Metazoa; Arthropoda; Malacostraca; Decapoda; Portunidae
Exons: 3
Source: RefSeq, a predicted model, not a curated record
GCUGGGUGACUGGAUAUGCGCUCGAGAACAGGCCUUACCACAAAUAACUCACCCAAGGCGUUCCACUGGUGUACUCACUCCUCCAGUCUGCUUCGAUGAAAGCCAGCUUCGUCGGUCAGGGCUUCGGCUUUUCGCUACACCACGCUGUCCUUUCUGCAGGCUGGUUCGGGAGGAGUCGAGGAGGGCACGUCUUGAGCGCUGGGUGACCCGGCCGGGAGUGAGACCUGGCAAGGUCGUGACCCGCUCACCUGGGCCCGCGCGCAUUGAUACAGGCUCCGCCCACCUGCCCGCAUGGUAAAUGGUUCUCUCCUAUGAUAGGGCGGUAAUUUAUUGCCCUCUCAAAAUCUUGUGUUCCUGUGCUCUCACAAACAACCUACGCUUUAAUGCGAAGGAGAAAGAAAAUUCACUGUCAUUGUGCCAUCAGAGAUUCAUGUCUGCAUGGUACGCAAGGGAAAAAUAAAAACCUACACAGGGUGUGAGGUUAAAAUGACCAUCAAGAUCAACAUCUCAAAAUUCACGGUCAGGAAGGAUAGAGUUCUUGCAACGCAUUCUUGUGAGGUCAUCAUCCGAGGCACCAAUAACCAAAGUUUAGAGUCAGCAAGUGCUUGAGUCCCUCAAGAAACUAAAAAUACUUUCUUCAUGUAAUUUGAGCUGGAUACCUGACGACACUGAUCGAGAGGAGGGAGUGGAACAUUGUGUACAGGGCUGGAUGUUUUUAUGUUUGUUCUUAUGUUUAUCAUGAUGAACAUGGAGUAACAACACCAUCUCAUGAGACAGAGAAACAAAAAAAAUAAAUUUGCAUUUUGCCUGCUGCACCUGGUGAGCACAGUAACAUUGUUGGAGAAGUGUUGAUGCAGUCAGCAUCACCUGAAGCUGCCCCCCUAAAUGACAAUGAGUUUGUUGAAAAUAAUGUGAGGCCUUCAAAUGCUGGUGUAGAGGCAGUAAAUGAACUGAGCACGGUUUUGUUGUAUCUGUUGAACAAAUAUGAAGAUGAUGAUGUUCUAGUAGGGUUACAUAAGUUAAAAAAUAAAUUAAAAAAGUUAAAGCUAGCAAUAAGUUCGCCAGCAUUUUAUUUAAUGCUGCAUCUUCAGGUGUUGUAGGUAAGACGGGAGCUGGCCGCGGUAAAAUAUCAUGUCAGCCAACUUCAGUGGCAAGACGCAGUACUGGCAUGCCAAGAGGAGCGGCACCUAUUAGCAAAGGCCGAAAGCGUAAAGGCAACAAAAUUGAUACGGGUGGAAAAAGGCAAAGGAACUUGUCUUUAAAUAUUUCAAAGAAUCAAACUAAUGCUAAGAAUCAUGGUUUUGGCCAUUAAGGGAGGUUAUAUGGACAUGUGACUGUGAUACUUGUUGUGUAAUAUGAAAACGUGCCUGUGAUAUUUGUUGUGUAAUAUGAAAAUGUUAUAUACAGUUAUAGAUAGAUUGACAAUUUAUUGCCUAUCUGCAACAUAAACAGGAUUACAAACUGAAAUUCAUUUGGCUAGAGCUCCAUAUAAGCAACUUCUACAGCAUAGCAAACUAAAAGUACUGGCAAUCAUAGUUACAUAAUUACUAUUAUAUUUUUAAGUGGUUGAAAAGUGUGGUACUCUUUUACAAACUAUUUCUUAUACAUGUCCAUAUGUUGUGUAGGUAGAGCUAACCUCCUGCCUGACCUGAGGAAUAUAUAGCAGGUGUGGGGGGGGAUGAGAUGCAUCUAUCAUGAUUGUUGCUUUCUGGAACAGCUUGUCAAAGUGCAAUUUUUUUUUUCUCACUCUCCUAUUAAAGAUAAUUCUCACGAGUAGCGGCUCCAGUGCUUUUCUGUUAAUUUUUCAAUAUAGCCAAAAAACAUGAGGAAACUGUGGGAAUUAUUGGGGAUCCUUGGUGGAAAUA